GGGUGCUUGUGAGCGGGCUUCAGUGACGCGCUCGGAUGCGGCUCACUUGUUGUAUCUGUGCACCCACCACGGCAGGCCUUCAGUUGUGCUCUCUGUGUCUCUCCCUCUCUCACAGACUUCGCCCUGCCCAUCGCACACGCUUCGGGGCAAAGAACUGGAACUCAUUUCUCUCACCGCCCUCUUAUAUGGAUCGAAAAAGAAAAACAAAGGUAGACAACAUUGGACGCAAACGUAGAUGAAAGCGUGCCGGUGCAUCACAAUUCUCACCGGCGCCGGCAUCUCUGCUGAAUCGGGAAUUUCCACCUUUCGCGAUAGCGACGGGCUCUGGUGCAACCAUAAUGUCGAGGAUGUAGCGUCUCCGGACGCCUUCAUCAGAAACCCGGCUCUCGUGCAGCUCUUCUACAACGAGCGUCGCCGCAAUCUUUUGCUAAGCUCUGUCAAGCCGAACAAGGCGCACAUAGCACUGGCCAAGUUAGAAGAGGAGCUGAGUGGAAAGGGGAAGGUUGUCAUUGUCACUCAGAAUGUGGACAACCUGCACGAGCGCGCCGGCUCGAAAAACGUUCUGCACAUGCACGGCGAGCUUCUGAAGGUCCGCUGCGCAGCCACCGGGAAUGUCUUCGAAUGGCAGAAGGACAUUGUGGGAGAUGUUGACCGCUGCCCCGACUGCGGCCUGCUUGGCACCUUGCGCCCGCACAUUGUUUGGUUUGGUGAGAUGCCGCUUUGCAUGGACGAGAUCGAGUCGAUACUGUCGAAGACGGAUCUCUUUGUUGCCAUCGGCACCUCCGGAAACGUGUACCCCGCCGCCGGGUUCGUGAAGCGGGCGCAGUUUUACGGUGCGACGACGCUUGAGCUGAAUCUUCAGGAGGGCUCCAACAGCACGCUCUUUCAGGAGUCCAUCUACGGCAAAGCCAGCGACAUUGUGCCCGCCUGGGUGGACCGAGUGCUGAAAGAGAGCUCGAAAAAGUGAUGGGACCGAACUGAUUCGGGUGGGUAUAGUAUGCGUGCGCGAUGUGGCUACUCCUCUGGCACGUUAGCUCUUGCUGUCCUCUGACGGACUGUGGGGGAAACAAGAACGCACACACACACACAAAAAGGGAAAAUGCUGCCUCCCUCAAACGAGCAAGCCUCCACGACUGACAUCCGAGGGCUCUUCCUGCCCUCCUGUGACAUCUUUUGACCUACCCGCCUCAGCGGUGCCGCAUAACGGCAGCUUCUCUUUUUUUUGCCUUUUGCUUCUUCUGUGGGGUGGUUUGGGGGACUGCCGCAUGGCCAACAUCUGCCAAGACCAAGGCAAGACAAGGCGGUGCGCUAUUCAGGUUACAUGAAGUUAAAGGGCGUUGAAGGGCGGCGUGACCUCUCUCUUCUCCGUCUUUCUCUUUCGAGUGAUUUGUGGCAUGCCCUCCUUCUCUGCUUUGUCGGUUUUUGCGUCUCUUG
RNAcentral lists this unclassified non-coding RNA (1434 nucleotides) under Leishmania donovani. Its description in RNAcentral is "gene:LdHU3.34.3230(CDS-product:NAD_dependent_deac etylase_putative)". The record is from RNAcentral. Lineage: Eukaryota; Euglenozoa; Kinetoplastea; Trypanosomatida; Trypanosomatidae.